Molecule: long non-coding RNA, 321 nt
Filed under: Lactuca sativa (garden lettuce)
Lineage: Eukaryota; Viridiplantae; Streptophyta; Magnoliopsida; Asterales; Asteraceae
Description: long non-coding RNA (LSAT_LNC003926)
Source: RNAcentral
UCUGCCCUCUCUGAAACUCUCUCUUCUAGAUCUCCCUUCAUUCUCUACCUCCCGUCUCUCUGUAAACCUCGAAGGUGAAUCGUAAUUGAACUGCGAGGUCUCCUUCUUUUUCUUUGUUUUCUCAGGUAGGACAUCAUCCCAAUCCAUUAACCCCUUUCAUUUUUCAUUAAAAAAACCCUAAUUGACUUGGCAAGUUCAUGAACCAGAUGUAACACAUUCCAAACUGGGGAUUUAACCAAACCCGAUAGAGCCAUUGACAGAAUCUUUGGAUUCAAUCAACAAGGACUCUCUGUAAUCGCGCAACUUUCUUCACAAGGGAUC